AGCAGCCGCGGUAAUUCCCAGUUCCAAUAGCGUAUAUUAAAGUUGUCGCAGUUAAAAUGCUCGUAGUUGAAUUUCGGGGUCAUAGGCUGGUCAUGCUACGGGUAUGUACUGGUCUUCCUUUCUGAUGAACUUUAAUGCCAUUAACUUGGUGUUGCGGGGAGACUGGACUGUUACUUUGAAAAAAUUAGAGUGUUUAAAGCAGGCUAACGCUUGAAUACAUUAGCAUGGAAUAAUGAAAUAGGACGUUCGAUCUUAUUUUGUUGGUUUCUAAGAUUGACGUAAUGAUUAAUAGGGAUAGUUGGGGGCAUUAGUAUUCAAUUGUCAGAGGUGAAAUUUCUUGGAUUUAUUGAAGACUAACUACUGCGAAAGCAUUUGCCAAGGAUGUUUUCAUUAAUCAAGAACGAAAGUUAGGGGAUCGAAGACGAUCAGAUACCGUCGUAGUCUUAGCCAUAAACUAUGCCGACUAGGGAUCGGAUGAUGUUAAUUUUUUAAUGUACUCAUUCGGCGCCUUACGGGAAAA
This 520-nucleotide ribosomal RNA is filed under the name uncultured Glomus. Its description in RNAcentral is "SSU rRNA". It matches the Rfam family "Eukaryotic small subunit ribosomal RNA", at positions 569 to 1098 of the family's 1831-position model. The record is from RNAcentral. Lineage: Eukaryota; Fungi; Glomeromycota; Glomeromycetes; Glomerales; Glomeraceae.